UAUCUUUUAUUUUAUUUAGAAUUUUUGUUUUGUAACCAAAAGGACCGGAGAUAU
RNAcentral lists this transfer RNA (54 nucleotides) under Globodera rostochiensis. RNAcentral's name for it is "tRNA-Thr". The record is from RNAcentral. Lineage: Eukaryota; Metazoa; Nematoda; Chromadorea; Rhabditida; Heteroderidae.